UACGUAGGUCCCGAGCGUUGUCCGGAUUUAUUGGGCGUAAAGGGAGCGCAGGCGGUGAUUUAAGUCUGAUGUGAAAGCCCACGGCUCAACCGUGGAAUGGCAUUGGAAACUGGGUCACUUGAGUGCAGAAGAGGAAAGCGGAAUUCCAUGUGUAGCGGUGAAAUGCGUAGAUAUAUGGAGGAACACCGGUGGCGAAAGCGGCUCUCUGGUCUGUAACUGACGCUGAGGCUCGAAAGCGUGGGGAGCGAACAGG
Molecule: ribosomal RNA, 253 nt
Filed under: uncultured bacterium
Lineage: Bacteria
Description: partial 16S ribosomal RNA
Rfam family: Bacterial small subunit ribosomal RNA
Source: RNAcentral